AACGAACGCUGGCGGCAUGCCUAACACAUGCAAGUCGAACGAGACCUUCGGGUCUAGUGGCGCACGGGUGCGUAACGCGUGGGAACCUGCCCUUAGGUUCGGAAUAACUCCCCGAAAGGGGUGCUGAUACCGGAUAAUGUCUUCGGACCAAAGAUUUAUCGCCUUUGGAUGGGCCCGCGUUGGAUUAGCUAGUUGGUAGGGUAAAAGCCUACCAAGGCGACGAUCCAUAGCUGGUCUGAGAGGAUGAUCAGCCACACUGGGACUGAGACACGGCCCAGACUCCUACGGGAAGCAGCAGUGGGGAAUAUUGGACAAUGGGCGAAAGCCUGAUCCAGCAAUGCCGCGUGAGUGAUGAAGGCCUUAGGGUUGUAAAGCUCUUUUACCCGGGAUGAUAAUGACAGUACCGGGAGAAUAAGCUCCGGCUAACUCCGUG
This 433-nucleotide ribosomal RNA is filed under the name uncultured bacterium. RNAcentral's name for it is "partial 16S ribosomal RNA". It matches the Rfam family "Bacterial small subunit ribosomal RNA", at positions 29 to 507 of the family's 1533-position model. The record is from RNAcentral.